RNAcentral lists this ribosomal RNA (458 nucleotides) under Bacillus sp. (in: firmicutes). RNAcentral's name for it is "bacterial SSU rRNA". It matches the Rfam family "Bacterial small subunit ribosomal RNA", at positions 114 to 557 of the family's 1533-position model. Lineage: Bacteria; Bacillati; Bacillota; Bacilli; Caryophanales; Bacillaceae. The record is from RNAcentral.
CACGUGGGUAACCUGCCCAUAAGACUGGGAUAACUCCGGGAAACCGGGGCUAAUACCGGAUAACAUUUUGAACCGCAUGGUUCGAAAUUGAAAGGCGGCUUCGGCUGUCACUUAUGGAUGGACCCGCGUCGCAUUAGCUAGUUGGUGAGGUAACGGCUCACCAAGGCAACGAUGCGUAGCCGACCUGAGAGGGUGAUCGGCCACACUGGGACUGAGACACGGCCCAGACUCCUACGGGAGGCAGCAGUAGGGAAUCUUCCGCAAUGGACGAAAGUCUGACGGAGCAACGCCGCGUGAGUGAUGAAGGCUUUCGGGUCGUAAAACUCUGUUGUUAGGGAAGAACAAGUGCUAGUUGAAUAAGCUGGCACCUUGACGGUACCUAACCAGAAAGCCACGGCUAACUACGUGCCAGCAGCCGCGGUAAUACGUAGGUGGCAAGCGUUAUCCGGAAUUAUUGG